RNAcentral lists this ribosomal RNA (231 nucleotides) under uncultured bacterium. RNAcentral describes it as "partial 16S ribosomal RNA". It matches the Rfam family "Bacterial small subunit ribosomal RNA", at positions 118 to 347 of the family's 1533-position model. The record is from RNAcentral.
UGGGCAACCUGCCCCUCUCUCUGGGAUAACCCCGGGAAACCGGAGCUAAUACCGGAUACUCCGGCUGGAUCGCAUGGUCCGGCCGGGAAAGGUCCGCCGGAGAGGGAUGGGCCCGCGGCCUAUCAGCUUGUUGGUGGGGUAACGGCUCACCAAGGCUACGACGGGUAGCUGGUCUGAGAGGACGACCAGCCACACUGGAACUGAGAUACGGUCCAGACUCCUACGGGAGCA